ACAUUGGGACUGAGAUACGGCCCAGACUCCUACGGGAGGCAGCAGUGGGGAAUAUUGGGCAAUGGAGGAAACUCUGACCCAGCAAUGCCGCGUGAAUGAAGAAGGUCUUCGGAUUGUAAAGUUCUUUAGUUAGGGAAGAAUAAAAUGACGGUACCUAAAGAAUAAGCCCCGGCUAACUACGUGCCAGCAGCCGCGGUAAUACGUAGGGGGCAAGCGUUGUUCGGAAUGACUGGGCGUAAAGGGUGCGUAGGCGGUAGUACAAGUUAGAAGUGAAAUCCCAGGGCUUAACUCGGGUGCUGCUUCUAAAACUGUACGACUUGAGUGCAGUAGAGGUUAGUGGAAUUCCUAGUGUAGCGGUGGAAUGCGUAGAUAUUAGGAGGAACACCAGAGGCGAAGGCGGCUAACUGGACUGUAACUGACGCUGAGGCACGGAAGUGUGGGGAGCAAACAGGAUUAGAUACCCUGGUAGUCCACACUGUAAACGA
This 485-nucleotide ribosomal RNA is filed under the name uncultured bacterium. RNAcentral describes it as "bacterial SSU rRNA". It matches the Rfam family "Bacterial small subunit ribosomal RNA", at positions 310 to 809 of the family's 1533-position model. The record is from RNAcentral.